This 117-nucleotide ribosomal RNA is filed under the name Lepisosteus oculatus (spotted gar). Lineage: Eukaryota; Metazoa; Chordata; Actinopteri; Semionotiformes; Lepisosteidae. The record is from RNAcentral.
UCCAGUAGCCAUAUCACCCUGCAACUCACAAGUGGCAGAUCACUGGAGCUCAGCAGGUGUGAGCCUGGUCAGUACCUGGAUGGGAGACUCCUGGGAAAGCUAAGGCUGCUGCUGGAA